RNAcentral lists this ribosomal RNA (233 nucleotides) under uncultured bacterium. Its description in RNAcentral is "partial 16S ribosomal RNA". It matches the Rfam family "Bacterial small subunit ribosomal RNA", at positions 118 to 351 of the family's 1533-position model. The record is from RNAcentral.
UGGGCAACCUGCCCUCAGCUCUGGGAUAACUCCGGGAAACCGGGGCUAAUACUGGAUAUGACUCGAACAGGCAUCUGUUUCGGGUGGAAAGAUUUAUUGGUGGAGGAUGGACUCGCGGCCUAUCAGCUUGUUGGUGAGGUAAUGGCUCACCAAGGCGACGACGGGUAGCCGGCCUGAGAGGGCGAUCGGCCACACUGGGACUGAGACACGGCCCAGACUCCUACGGGAGGNAG